RNA transcript from Ornithodoros turicata, 3522 nucleotides. It is a transcript of the gene named lactosylceramide 4-alpha-galactosyltransferase-like, with no coding region annotated. The record is from RefSeq and is a predicted model, not a curated record. The transcript is spliced from 4 exons. Lineage: Eukaryota; Metazoa; Arthropoda; Arachnida; Ixodida; Argasidae.
AAUAUAUCGAAUAAUGGCCGUUUCAGCUCCACAGUAUUGCAAGAAACUGUUGAGAUGCAAACUAUUAGUUGCUGUACUUAUAGCGCUUCGCUUUUCCACUAUGGAGUUCCUCCACCAGUUUGCCUCUAUCUACGCAACAUUAUCAGUUUUACUGAAAGGACAGUUAAGUAGCAACUGAGCUGGUUAUAACUGGUAAGCAUCCAUGAUCCGUCUGGGUUUCACUCUAUGUAUCCACUUUAGGUUGUUCGCUGCUGGCGUUGCUGCUCACUCGUCGCUUAGCUCACACUUUCCUAAGGGUGAGCUAAGCGACGAGUGAGUGAGCGCGAGUGAGCAAACAAGAAGAUGAGCUGGAGCUGAGUGAGCAGGACUCACAACUGCCAAUAUCUUAUCACUAAUAUUGAAUUAUUAUUAGCACGAGGUACAGGGAUCUAGAAAAUGUGUACCAAGGACUGAAAGCUGCUCCUCCAGGUGAUGCAGCGCCAGUAAAGUUGCACUGAGUACUCGGCUUCAUAGCUCAUCAAGGUGCAGUUGCGUAGUUCAUACAGUAGGCAAGUAGAUAUUGCAUUUCGGCAGCACAAUUGUGCUAACUUAAUAUUUCGUCUAGUCUUAUUAAAGCAGUCGUUAUAACUCUUCCUAUCGCUUGAUGCGCUGGUGGAGUUGCUGACUACAUUAAUUUUCAAUGUCAGCUAUAUUGCGUGAAGGUCAAUACCAAUAGACGAUUUCAGAAAUUGCAUGGAUGGCCAGCCAGAGAGCGCCGUGUUGCGAAUGCCCCACUGCACCUUGGGAUUUAGUUUUCAUGAGUCCGACAGCAGAGCGCAAACGGUUUCGGUUUUUCCUCCUCCCUUCGAGCAACAGGCAGGCGAGCACACUGAUCUCUAUGUAUAAAGGCUGGAUAGCGGAUGGGUGAGGGUAUCGCGGGAAAGGGUACGACCACCGGCCGCCAUAUUGCGGUGCUCAAAAGAGCGAUUACAGCCCAUAGGAAUGCAUGUAAGCUGUGACAAGUUUUGCUGUUUGUGAGCGCUUCCCUUGCUGCUUCGCUAAAAUUUUGCCACGGAUCGCUGCAGAAAUCCCUCGUGAUUGAGUUCCUUACGUUUUUUGUGUGAAAUCCCGUCACAUACAUGUUAUUUCCUUUCUAUUUUGUACUCGUGUGAGCGCGUGUCGUUCCAAUCUUGUACUUUGAACUACGAUUAUGUGAUUUGCUGGUUUUGUGUGGUGUUGUAUUUGUUGUGUUACGUUUCCUUUGUCGUCCGUCAGCGUGUUGCUUCCCGUGUUUCUCCCAUUUCCUUUCUGCUCGGGGGUGCUAGAGGUAGAGUGAAUAAGUCAUAAAAAGGCUAAGUAGCAAGGUCUUGUGGUGAAAGUUCCAACAUCAAAGUAUCACAAGUCCAGUUGCAACAGCAAGUUUGAAGCAGUCAAGCAGGUAAGUGGGCAGAGUGCAUUACUGGUUGUUGAAUAUGAUCAACCUUGACAAUUUCUUUCGCAGGUGAGGCCUGGCUGUCACCUUCUCUGUAUAUUCUUUGGCAAGGUGGUACAGUCCGAUACUGCUGUAGCACUGGGAAACUUCUUUGAUCAGACGGAUCACAUUGUUUUCAUUUGGGCUGCAUUCAAACAUGUGUUGUCGCAAGCUUAAGCAGCGAGAAUAAAGAGUAGACAUUCGAGGUUGAAAAAUUAUUUAUUGUCUCUAAGUAAAGUAAACAUGCUGGAAUGCACCAAAGAGACAUGUGGCUGGUGUGUUUGUAUUUUCACUCACGUCCACUUAUUUCCUUGCUUUCUUUACGGUUCUUCCACAGCAUUUUAUGUCAUAAAACAUGAUGUCCAGUCAAUGACAGUAUUCUGUUCAGGAAGUAAGAACUGCUGCUAUUGAAAUGAAGCUGAACCAUCGUGUGCAGACAGGGAAUAAGAUGUAACACGUUCGAAUUGUUGGACAUAAACGAAAACUCAACGCAGGCAACUCAGGGUCGAACUCAGCUGCACCUGUGUAGUGUUAUUUUGUGUCCGAAGUAACUUGGGAGCAACUCGUUCUUUUUUUUAAGUAACUCUGUAACGUUUCAAGCUACGUUUCGGGCUGAAUAACUUAGUUGCAUUUUUCACACGGUAACUUUGUAACGAGUUCCUUUUGACGGGCAACUUCUCGAUCUAUGCUUUCAACUCUGCAUGCUUUUUGUACACUACAUAAAGUAAGAUACUUUUGCCCCAGUGAGUUUGUUGCGUAUUUUAAAUGCAUGCAAGUGAAUUCCUAGAGGUACAUAUUUUGAGCAAGAUAAAUGAGUUUUUCAUGCAUGUGUGUUCAACUAGCUUUUAGUGGAUAUAAAUCUGGCCUCUACAUAUGUCGCAUGCAUUAUUACUUUCUGGAGGUGUUCUGGGAAGUCGAACUUGUUGGGCACAGCGUCAGGCCUCAGUCGAACGGUUUGGCCCGUUCUGUCGAAGCAUUUGUUUUUAAAAUGUUUGCUGCAGACCAGUGAUGUCGUCGACGGCGUCCAGUCCUUUCGCCUGACAUUUACCGCACACUUUGUUUAAAUGUUCUGGGCGGCCGUGAGGGAACCUGCAUUGAACAAUUUAUGCCAUCAAUUACGGAAAGGAUGACAAGGCUAAUCCAAGCAAGCAAUCGCCGAUACCGUGACCAACAAACUGAGCCGUAGAUAUCACAGCUGACAAGCGCACUUCAACGCCUGCUGAGUGCCGAGACCAUACCCGUGAACUGCAGGAAGGCUAGACUAUCACAAUGACUCUAUGCAGAUAACGUACGGCUUAAAGUUUAACGCUUAGAUCUUGAGAUACGAUUCACAAAGUGCCGCGCACAUGCAUCAACAGCAACGUUUUGUCACUCCGCUCGUGGACUAAUAAAUCACAUUUAUUUGUAAAACCAUGUCACUUACUCGUGAAAUGUCGUCCCCGGUGCCUUGCCAGUACGGUCAGCACACCCAUAACCACAGCAGGCGGGCAUGACACCACAAAAGUGCUACGCAAAGGCGCAUCCACAUAAUGCAGCUGAGUGGCGGACGGCAAUGUUUUGAGCUUCCCAAGAUGGCGGCCGGCGACCGUACGGUUGCACCCUCAAUCCGCUAUCCAGCCUAUUACUAUAGAGAUCAGUGGGCGAGCACGAAUGCAAACCAUUUCCCACGACGCAUUGCGCGAUGCGCGUGACUUGGACGGCGGAGGGCCCCCGUGCGGAGCACAAGAGCAUUAUCUGAAAUCGCCUAUUGAUAGACGAUUGCUGCCGGGUCUACUGAAUACUUCAAAAUAUAUUGUGACUUCUCGGUAUGUUGAUAGUGGUCCUAGAUGCAUAUGCAUACAAAAACCCCUAAAGAGACACCAAAAGAGGGUGUUCCUUUAAUAAGAUAGCUAGAGAUAAGAUAACAGGUUCCUGCUUGGUGGAUGGAAGUGUUGAUGCCUUUCUGCCCUUUAAAAUCCCGAUCUUGCUGCUUCGUUUUUUUUCCAGUGUAAUCUACCGAGGACACAGAGGCGGAGUAGAACUGGCUCGAACUCUGAGGCAACACUGUAGAGCGUGGAAUGAGGAAGGCGUCA